AUUGAGUUUGAUCCUGGCUCAGAUUGAACGCUGGCGGCAGGCCUAACACAUGCAAGUCGAGCGGAUGAGAAGAGCUUGCUCUUCGAGUUAGCGGCGGACGGGUGAGUAAUGCCUAGAAAUCUGCCUGGUAGUGGGGGACAACGUUUCGAAAGGAACGCUAAUACCGCAUACGUCCUACGGGAGAAAGCGGGGGACCUUCGGGCCUUGCGCUAUCAGAUGAGCCUAGGUCGGAUUAGCUAGUUGGUGAGGUAAUGGCUCACCAAGGCGACGAUCCGUAACUGGUCUGAGAGGAUGAUCAGUCACACUGGAACUGAGACACGGUCCAGACUCCUACGGGAGGCAGCAGUGGGGAAUAUUGGACAAUGGGCGAAAGCCUGAUCCAGCCAUGCCGCGUGUGUGAAGAAGGUCUUCGGAUUGUAAAGCACUUUAAGUUGGGAGGAAGGGCAGUAAGCGAAUACCUUGCUGUUUUGACGUUACCGACAGAAUAAGCACCGGCUAACUCUGUGCCAGCAGCCGCGGUAAAAUC
RNAcentral lists this ribosomal RNA (526 nucleotides) under uncultured bacterium. RNAcentral's name for it is "bacterial SSU rRNA". It matches the Rfam family "Bacterial small subunit ribosomal RNA", at positions 1 to 526 of the family's 1533-position model. The record is from RNAcentral.